Molecule: ribosomal RNA, 588 nt
Filed under: uncultured Sorangiineae bacterium
Lineage: Bacteria; Pseudomonadati; Myxococcota; Myxococcia; Myxococcales
Description: bacterial SSU rRNA
Rfam family: Bacterial small subunit ribosomal RNA
Source: RNAcentral
ACGGGUGAGUAACACGUAGGUCAUCUUCCCCUGAGUGGUGGAUAACUCUCCGAAAGGAGAGCUAAUACAGCAUAAGACCACGACCUCGCCGAGGUUGUGGCCAAAGCAGACCUCUUCAUGAAAGUUUGCGCUUAGGGAUGAGCCUGCGGCCCAUCAGCUAGUUGGUAGGGUAAUGGCCUACCAAGGCUAAGACGGGUAGCUGGUCUGAGAGGAUGAACAGCCACACUGGAACUGAGACACGGUCCAGACUCCUACGGGAGGCAGCAGUGGGGAAUCUUGCGCAAUGGGCGAAAGCCUGACGCAGCGACGCCGCGUGAGCGAUGUAGGCCUUCGGGUUGUAAAGCUCUGUGGGGAGGGAAGAAUAAGGUUUGGCUAAUAUCCAAGCUGAUGACGGUACCUCCUUAGCAAGCACCGGCUAACUCUGUGCCAGCAGCCGCGGUAAGACAGAGGGUGCAAACGUUGUUCGGAAUUACUGGGCGUAAAGCGCGUGUAGGCGGCUAAGUAAGUCGGGCGUGAAAUCCCACGGCUCAACCGUGGAAGUGCACUCGAAACUGCAUAGCUAGAGUCCUGGAGAGGAAGGUGGAAUGC